UCAGGAGAGGCUUGUAGCAAGCCCCGGAUUUCCCCUGCCCGCGAGACCGACGACACGGAGCAAAGCUCCGGUGAGUUUUCUUCCAUUUUUCCCGUCGAGAUUUGCUUCGGAAUCGUUGUGGGUGAGCACACCCAUUUUUUCGACGAACCCGUGCACUCCGUGGGCUUUUCCGGUCACCUUCGACCGAGUUACGGUGUUUGGAAGGUAAAGUUGCUAGUGGAGAAAUUCUAUAUCCUUAUUCGCACGACUCUUCUGCUAAGGAAUAUUUCCCUCUUUAUAGUGUAGACGAUGAUCGGUCAUAGAAACGAGGACUACGACUGGACGUACGAGGCAUUCCCCUACCAGUAGCACUAUCACCCACUUGUGUGAUAUCUUGUAAUGUUCUUUCUUUUUUUGUAAAUCUCGUUUUAAAUUGUGUCUAGUUUGUUCUAGACACUUCCUUGAACGUUGUUUAUUACUCUUAAAUUCUGAUGUUAUUCAUGAAUAUUUUCUUCUAAUCAUUACUCUUAUAAUCAAUUAAUGGCUUUCGUCACCUUGGGUGUCGG
This 545-nucleotide small RNA is filed under the name Malus domestica (apple). RNAcentral describes it as "sRNA MD13G0189900". Lineage: Eukaryota; Viridiplantae; Streptophyta; Magnoliopsida; Rosales; Rosaceae. The record is from RNAcentral.